UACGUAGGGUGCGAGCGUUGUCCGGAAUUAUUGGGCGUAAAGGGCUCGUAGGCGGUUUGUCGCGUCGGGAGUGAAAACCCAGGGCUUAACCCUGGGCUGGCUUCCGAUACGGGCAGACUAGAGGUAUGCAGGGGAGAACGGAAUUCCUGGUGUAGCGGUGAAAUGCGCAGAUUUCAGGAGGAACACCGGUGGCGAAGGCGGUUCUCUGGGCAUUACCUGACGCUGAGGAGCGAAAGUGUGGGGAGCGAACAGG
This 253-nucleotide ribosomal RNA is filed under the name uncultured bacterium. Its description in RNAcentral is "partial 16S ribosomal RNA". It matches the Rfam family "Bacterial small subunit ribosomal RNA", at positions 524 to 776 of the family's 1533-position model. The record is from RNAcentral.